This is a long non-coding RNA of Callithrix jacchus (white-tufted-ear marmoset), 5376 nucleotides long. NCBI's taxonomy places the organism in Eukaryota, Metazoa, Chordata, Mammalia, Primates, Cebidae. The record is from Ensembl.
CCGAAUAAACACAAUCUCCAAUAAACAUCUCUAAUGAGGGAGGAGGCCCGAGGAUGGCUGGGUUUGAUUUAUGACUGGAGGAGAAGGUCCACUUCCCACUGCGAAGCGGGCAACCUGCUCGCGGCCCAGCUCCUGAGAGAGGAACCCGCGGAGGAGAGGACCCAGGCCCAGGCUUACCCUCAGCCCAGGAUAGCCCUGACUGCAAUUUUCCGACAUCUAGGGCAGCUCCAGGCUCUGAUUCUCCACAGCAAACACAGUGAGCGAGCUCGCCAGUCGCCCAGUCUGCGGAGGCUCCCAGGCCAGCCCCGGCACCCGACUGCCGAGAAGCCCAGAGCUUCCCCAUUAGCCAGCAGAGGCUGGUGGAGAGCCUGGAUGGAGCCUGCAGGUGCUAGGCACGGGAAAUGGCGUCAGACCCCAGCAGAACGCUUCACAAAGAGGAGAGGGCUUGCUGCGUACAGGCCCAAAAGAAACGAAGCCCCACAUAAAAUUACACCUAUUUUUUUUCUACAAAACCUGGUUCUUAUAUAGCAAAGUUAAACAAAGCAGCUAUGCUAAAUUAGCGUUACAUAAAGGCGAGUUUAAUGCUCGGUUACAGUCAACUGAUGUAUCUCUGAUGGCUAAUUGUCUAUCAAAAUUAAAGAGAAAAGAACAAAUGAUUCGUUAUAAGAAGGUGUUAAAAGCCUCAACAAAAGGACAUUUCACAAAUAUAAUAUCGGCAGCUCCGGGAUUGCCUGCGGGGUUGUUCAGGCCCCGGCCCUGCACAGCUAUGAGAAGUGGGGUGCAGGGUGCUAUUUGCCCGGCAAGAGCUCAUUUCCUCCCAGAUGAGUAUAAUGAAAACCCGAGAGGCGAUAUUAGUGUAAAGAUCGGGAUUAAUCCAAACAGGAGCGGUAGACUUGGGCUUAAAAGGCGAGCCCUACUCCCUUUGCCCAGUCUGGGGACGGAGGGCACUUGAAGGGAUACUUCAAGGACGCCACAUCCAACUCUUCGAAGUCCCACGUUCAGGGACAGGAGGGAGCGAUCAUUGGGCAGAGGGUAGUUUCAACAAAGGAGAGCAGGCUAGAGAGAUCCCGGCUUUUCCUUGCCUUCUAGGGGUUGGAAGGGGACGGUUCGGGCUCUGUCGCAGGCGCGGGCACAGUCCAGCACGUGCCUUUCUGACGCGCGGCGCUGGUCUGGGGAGGGGCGUGCAGGCUGCUGCUGCCAGCCCCCACCCCGCCCCAGGCUGGGAAGGACGCAGAAUAUAAUACGACGGCCCCUUCCCCAAGGCGACACCAGAUCCAGAGCUCCAGGCAUAUUUGUUGUUCAAAGUUAAUUAAACCUGAAAGCAACCAAAAUGCGCGCGCCAGGCUCACGGAGGCCGAUUCCCGACCCGUGUAGCCGGCCCGCAGAGCCAGAAAAGCGUCAAGGGCCGCCGGGGCUCGCUCAUUCCGGCGGAGUCUCUGUAAGAGAAUCUGAGACUGGGGAAUAAAAGCCGAAACCAAAUCAGGCAGCAAGAGCAACAAACCAUCUGGAAAAUGGACCCAAGGCGCCGCAAGAAUGUACUUUUUUUUUUUUAAUCUUUGACAAUUUGUGUCCUAAAGAAAGUGUAUUGAAGAUAAUUGAAAUGAUUACAAUUCAUUGCUGCCUGACUUUGAAUAUGAACAGUCACAUAAUGACAUCCCCGCCACACAACAACAGUUUAAUUUCCAUUAUCCGACUUCGGGAUCCUAGCGCCAGCCGCCGGGGCAACGCCGCGCUAAUGCAGAAAUCUUGGCUCCUGCCUGCAUUAUUCAUUUCAGGGGAGUGGGGAUGGGAUAGGAGUGGAGAAUGGGUUGUUCCUCUCUCCCCAAACUUGUUCUGAAAAUCCCGAAGACCAGUGGACGCAGAGAAGCCGAGAGUCGAGAGAAUCUGUCACGGGGCCACUUUACCCGACGGGGCUGCGGACGACGGCGCUCCCCCGCUGUCUUGUAGUCCCCUUGGGUUCCCAGAUCCGCAGGGCACGGAUCUCCCAGCUCCCACCCUAGUCGGGUCCAGUCAGGGAGGACCCAGGCCAGGAUUCCUUGGCAAGAUUGUCAUCUGUCGGGGCAAACACCCUUCUCUCAUUCUUUCCUUUCCCUUCCAGCCCUCGCGUCCCUUCCUUCUUUCUGCUUCAGAGCUCGCAGGCUCGCGUGCAAGCGGGAUGGGCCCAGCUCCCGGGGCCCCUUCGCAGAUUUGAAGGUUGCCUCGGCCUUGAUUUGGUCCCAGCCUCCCUGCUGGGGACUCAGGCCCCACGUCCCGUGCCACCCGAGGAAAAGCAGAGAAAGCCAGAGUGUCUUCGCACGGCGGGGACCCUGGCGAUCACCUCUGGGCGCGGCCUCGGUGGAGCCUCAGGGCCUGGGUGGGGUGUGGCGGGGUGUGGCUGGGUGGGGUAGGACAGGGUCCCUGGGUGCGAGCCGGGCCAAGGCCUCCGCAGUGCGCAGGCGCCGUUCGGGCCCCCUGCCCCCUCCCAAAGCGCGGGGUCCGGGGGACAGACCCCGAGCCCCUCUCUGCGCAACUACCGCCUCUAAAAAAAAGACCAUCUGGUAAUUGUCUUUCUUUAGAUCUUCCCUUAAUUAUGCUUUUAAUUAAAGAUGGUUCAAGGCACCGGACCACAUGAAGGGCAGUAAUUACAAAUUACAUUACAAACCCGACAGAUGUAGCAGGAUCUGCUGGGAAAAAGGUACCGGAAUAAAAAUUUGACUAAAGUUUGGGAUAAAUUAAUCGGUGGCUUGAAGAACAGAAGCACAGUUCUGAUUAUGUAGGCUCCAGCCAGGAUUUAAGUUUUGUGUCAUGAUUGUUUUCAUAUUUCUUUGACAUCUAUUGAUUUGGAGGCAGCUGCAAGCCUUUGUCACAGGAGAGAAGAGCAGUCACAAUAUAUUAGCUUGAUGGCAUAACUCGAACCGGAGAAGCGAGGGGAGCCAGAGUGACGGGGGCGCACAUGACCCCCCUCCCGGGGCCUUCGGGCUCAACCCUUACUUUUAACUUGUUCUAACAGGAAUAAUGGAGUAUUACUACUAAUGCAUGGUCAGAAGGGUCAUUUCUGUCUAGAACGCAGGCGGCAGGAGUUGCACUGCCACAGCCCGGGAGACCAAAAUGUCUUACUCCCUGCGCCCCACACCUCCUCGCCAACCGCAGCCCCGCGCCCAGUGAACCCAGCAGGUCCCAAGUCAAGGGACGCUGGGUUGGUAGAAGUUCUGCUGGUCCUGGGCUCUGCCCCUAGGUGCCAGGCCCAGUCUUCACCUCGGCUUCCUUAGGGAGCCUACAGCGGGUAGCCGAGGGGCUGGAGGCCCCGGAGCUGGGGAGGCUACCGCCGGGCAGGUGCCGGGCCUGAGGAGGCGUGCGCGGCCGCCCGCUCGCCCGCCGCGGGCCGGGAGCGUAAAGGAGCGUGACGCAGAUUGUGAAAACAGAAGGGAGGGAGUUGGGUCAUUUCCUUCGCUAAUCAUCGCCCUCUCCUGCUCCUCCUCCCUACCCCUAUCCCAUCCUCGCCGCCAGCCAGCCUCGAACACUCUUCCUUGCCAAAGUCUGACUCACUUUGAGCCAGUGGCUGCACUUUAUGGAGAAAAUAUACGUGCCCAUCACUCACCCAUCUAUUUACAGCGCCCAUGCAGCGCCUCGGGGAACACGCAUGGACAAUUAAACACACCCACUUACGGCGGGAUGAUGAGGCUUUCUGUUAACCACAUGUGUUCAGAGAUGGAUACAGCCCGAAUUUGGACACAGAAUGCAGCUAAUGCACCUUGCUAUAGAAGUACGUCCGUUGCAAGGGUGUGCGAUGGGCGCCUGAUCUAAACGAAGAGAACAAGGAUGUCUGCAGAUAAUCCAGCGGCCUGACACCUUUUCUUGCUGCUGAGGAAGGAAAGAUUUUCUUUUGAUUCGUCCUCUCACGAUUUUUUCCUUUUCCUUUGCACUACAGUUUCAGAGAGGAAUGUAAAUAUUUUGACUAGACCUCUGCAGGGGACUUUUAAACAACAGGCACAAUAAUCUGUGGAAUACUGUAGUUCAUAGUUUCAAAACUUGGAUGUUAAAAAGUCUGUCUUGCUGAGGAAAUCCAUAGACCUAGUGGCGACUUCUCAACUCUCUAUUUGUGUGAUGAAAUGAAGUAUGCCCUAGUUAUCCUCGAAUUUUAAGGAGUUUUUCUGUCACUGCUACUUUCCCAUCGUUUGCAGGGAAGAAAAAUCAAUCAAACUGACCUUUGAACGGGUUGUGGCAAGAUCACAUUUCACUGUGCUCCAGGCUUACCUCUUCUCACACCCCUCCCUGCUGUGGGGCGUGUGCAGGAAGUAUGCAAAACUCUAGAAAUAAUAUUUGAAAAAAUUAACACCUUUUAAAAAAAUUUCUUCUGUGUAUUUGAUAUACGCGUUUCUUUCUUUUCUUGUUUCAGUGUUUAAUACAAAGCUGAUAUGUUGGAACAGAAUGCAGUAUUCAAAGAAACUAAAAUUAGGAGGCAAAUAGUGUCAAGGUUUCCUCAGUUUAUGUAUUAGCACACAGAGUAUAGCGUCUUUUCAUACAAAAAGAAGCAAAAAUUGCCAAGAGGCAUAAUGCAUCUCUGAAUAUGCAUUUAAAAAAAUAAACAAACAUUCCCAAAAUAUUGAUGUACCCAUGAUUUUAUAGUCUGAAAAUAUUUCUAGACACAAAUAUGGUAGAAAAACAUUAGUUUCAACUCAGUCUUCGUUGUUGUUAAAAUGACAGUAAAUUAUUCUUGAUUUUAAAAUACCCUCCUUGUUAAUGUCAGUUGAGGUUAUUUUAGGGCCUGGAUGCUCUAGGAAGACUACCUAUAAUGUGUUUAUUUCUCUGUCCAAUUCACCUAUAGUGUAAGGAGCAUUUUAAAUAAAAUAUUUUGGGCAUCCUUAAUAAUCCUUUGUUAAAAUCACAUACUCUGAGAUUGUGACAAAUAGGCUGAAAAUUUUUGUUUUUUUAUAUCAAAUUCAUUUUAAUAAAUAAAGCAUAUGCUGAGGUGAUAAUACAACAAAUGCCAACAAAAAUGCAAGAGCACAGAAAAAAGAAAAUAUUGUUAGAAUUGCCUAAAAUGUUGCUUAUGAUCCUAAAUUUUUUGAUGUAAGGAACUUGAAAUUUUCAGCUAAUGUUAUUCUGUUUUCUUAUUCAAUGUUUCUAUUAGAACACUCACCUAUGCUCGGUCUUCCCUUGCUGUCUUCCCAUAGCUUAUGUGUGCACUAUGAAUUUCAAUAAAUAUAAAUUACUGCUUAAAGGAGUAAAGAAUGGCUACUUUAUGUCUCAUUGUUCUUUCCUUAUAAUCUGCUCAAAAAUCUUUUUACAAAUCCCAUUGUAGAUACUUCCCCUCAAUUCCAUGAUAAAAGUGAAUGGCAAAUGCCAUUCAAUUUAGAGGAACUCAAGCACAGAGAAUAUAAAGAUGUUGUUCAAAGC